Non-coding RNA from Salvelinus sp. IW2-2015, 1864 nucleotides. Lineage: Eukaryota; Metazoa; Chordata; Actinopteri; Salmoniformes; Salmonidae. The record is from RefSeq and is a predicted model, not a curated record.
GGGUGGAAGUCGCUUCAGGGUCCUAAAGAGAGGACAGAGAGAUGGAUACCACACUGCUGAUAUAGAAUACAUGGAGGACCACAAGGCUGAGGGGUCAGAGUUGGAGCUGUUGCAGAGCCUUCAUGACAGUGUGUAUGAGCAGCCCAGGACUGGUACACACGCCUCAACACACGCCUCAGAGAACAGAUCAGCAGACAGUAUGGAACCAUGCCUGACAAGGACGACAACAACAGGCCUCCAAUAACGGUCCAGCAUGGUGUUGGUGGUUGUUGUCAGUUCUCCAGCUGGACCCUGCCUACCAGACCACUGUGCUGUCUCUGCCCUCCCUCAAAGAUCGCCUGGGACACCUGCGCAUCGUUCUGGAAUACUUCUCCCAGAGCUAGAGAAGAGGAGUAUGAAGGAGAGAGAGGGAUACAGCGAUACUUGGUUUCUGAUGCCAAUCCAGUACCCCACACAGAGGAGAAUCUCUACAGACUGGAUAAUAUGAACCAUACACAAUACAGAAAUACACACAAACGCACAUCCACUAAUAUAUUACACACACACACUAAUAUAUUACACACAUACACACAAGUAGAAAGAGUUUUAUCACUUACAUAAAUACCAUAUUGAAUUGCUGGUGAAAGAGAGGAGCUUUAGGUUUUGGGAGAAAAAUAACUCAAUAUACUUACAAAUUACUAUAUCAUGUUUUGACUGUCCAGCUCGCUAAUAAUCACUUAAAUUAAAGCUAGACAGUCAGGGAGUAUCGUAAAUUCCCAAAACGAUGGAUAGAGGACUUUCUCUUGCAAAUUUUAACGGCGAAGAAAUAAUCAAUAUUCAUUGCUGCCCUCCGGAACUCGUUGAAGACCAAAUGCAGCCCCCAGGGCAAAAUUAGUUUGACCCCCCUGCAGUAGAGGGUUGACCUCAACCUGUUCUGAUUCAUACCAAAGGAUGUAAACCUGGUGUUAAUGUCUCAGACAACCACUAGGUGUCCCUGUUCUCACUCCUGUUUCCCCUAUCAGCCAAGCAUAAAGAACACUGCCUUUCGCCAUGGCAACUGACCUGCACUCAUGAUGUAACCAGCCAUGUCAUAAUCAGAUGAUCUGAUUAGUCUGACUCCUAUGGCUCUAAAGUGCUUGAUGAAAUGCUAUUAAAGGAGAGAUGAGAUGAUAGCGGGAUAGAGAAAGAGUGACACAGAGAUCGCUCAGUCUGACAGAGCUGAAAACAACUUGAUUUCCUGGAUAAUGCACAUUAUGCUAUUAAAGAGUUUGGGUUAAUGUUAUUGAUAGUUCAAAAUAAUCAUGUUGUCUUUUUGGGGGGGUUCUUUAAAACCUUGGCAAGCUCCCAUAUUGUGACAAACACAAUGAGCAGCCAUUUGGUAUCUAACAAUCGGCCACUAAAUUAGGAUCAUAAAUUCUUUAUUUUAUUACUAGCACUAUACUAUAAUUGCUAUUGCCGUUACUAUAUAUUUCCUGCAAUGAAGCAUCGUUACUAAUAUUGAAUAGGAUGUCAUAUUAGUGUGUUAUUGCAAUAAUGAUUUAUUAUGAAACAUUGAAACAUAAAAAGGCUCCGCCUGGGUGAAAAUCGUAAUGUGAAUUAAAAGCUGCUAUUGGCUGACUUCUGUCUCUGUAGUGUUGAUGAAGAUGUAUUGAACAGGCCACAUCCCAAAUUGGCACCUUAUUCCCUUCAUAGUGCACUACAUUUGACCAGGGCCUCUAUAGGACUCUGGUGAAAAGUAGUGCACUAUAUAGGGAAUAGUUGGGAUGCAGCCCAGGUGUUAAAUAAGAGAGACGAGAUGGAGGUGGAAAGAGGAACUUUACAUACACCUUGGUCAAAUGCAUUUAAACUCAGUUUUUCGCAAUUCCUGACAUUUAAUCCAAGUAAA